GACGAACGCUGGCGGCGUGCUUAACACAUGCAAGUCGAACGGGUCUGCCCUGUUUUUUGCGGGGUGGGUCAGUGGCGAACGGGUGAGUAACACGUGAGUAACCUGCCCCUCACUUCUGGAUAACCGCUUGAAAGGGUGGCUAAUACGGGGUGUUCUGGCUGUGCCGCAUGGUGUGGCUGGGAAAGAUUCACUUUUGUGGUGUUUUGGUGGGGGAUGGGCUCGCGGCCUAUCAGCUUGUUGGUGGGGUGAUGGCCUGCCAAGGCUUUGACGGGUAGCCGGCCUGAGAGGGUGGGCGGUCACACUGGGACUGAGAUACGGCCCAGACUCCUGCGGGAGGCAGCAGUGGGGGGUAUUGCACAAUGGGCGGAAGCCUGAUGCAGCGACGUCGCGUGAGGGAUGGAGGCCUUCGGGUUGUGAACCUUUUUCGCCGGUGAAGAAGGUCCUGCUCUUUGUGGGGGGGUUGACGGUAGCCGGGUUAUGAAGCGCCGGCUAACUACGUG
RNAcentral lists this ribosomal RNA (500 nucleotides) under uncultured bacterium. RNAcentral describes it as "partial 16S ribosomal RNA". It matches the Rfam family "Bacterial small subunit ribosomal RNA", at positions 28 to 507 of the family's 1533-position model. The record is from RNAcentral.